CCUACGGGGGGCAGCAGUGGGGAAUAUUGGACAAUGGGGGGAACCCUGAUCCAGCCAUGCCGCGUGUGUGAAGAAGGCCCUCGGGUUGUAAAGCACUUUCAGUGAGGAAGAACGCCUGGUGGUUAAUACCCAUCAGGAAAGACAUCACUCACAGAAGAAGCACCGGCUAACUCCGUGCCAGCAGCCGCGGUAAUACGGAGGGUGCGAGCGUUAAUCGGAAUUACUGGGCGUAAAGCGCGCGUAGGUGGCUUGAUAAGCCGGUUGUGAAAGCCCCGGGCUCAACCUGGGAACGGCAUCCGGAACUGUCAAGCUAGAGUGCAGGAGAGGAAGGUAGAAUUCCCGGUGUAGCGGUGAAAUGCGAAGAGAUCGGGAGGAAUACCAGUGGCGAAGGCGGCCUUCUGGACUGACACUGACACUGAGGUGCGAAAGCGUGGGUAGCAAACAGGAUUAGAUACCCGUGUAGUC
RNAcentral lists this ribosomal RNA (465 nucleotides) under Vreelandella stevensii. Its description in RNAcentral is "partial 16S ribosomal RNA". It matches the Rfam family "Bacterial small subunit ribosomal RNA", at positions 338 to 795 of the family's 1533-position model. Lineage: Bacteria; Pseudomonadati; Pseudomonadota; Gammaproteobacteria; Oceanospirillales; Halomonadaceae. The record is from RNAcentral.